UUCCGGUUGAUCCUGCCAGAGGCUACUGCUAUCGGGGUUCGAUUAAGCCAUGCGAGUUAAAUGUUCUUCGUGAACAUAGCGAACUGCUCAGUAACACGUGGAUAACCUACCCUUAGGACCGGAAUAACCCCGGGAAACUGGGGAUAAUACCGGAUAAGCCAUAGACGCUGGAAUGCCCUAUGGUUCAAAGCUCCGGCGCCUAAGGAUGGAUCUGCGGUCUAUCAGGUUGUAGUGGGUGUAACGUACCUACUAGCCGACGACGGAUACGGGUUGUGAGAGCAAGAGCCCGGAGAUGGAUUCUGAGACACGAAUCCAGGCCCUACGGGGUGCAGCAGGCGCGAACACUUUACAAUGCGGGAAACCGCGAUAAGGGAACCCCGAGUGCCAGCACCAAGUGUUGGCUGUCCGGAUGAUUAAAAAUCAUUUGUUAGCAAGGGCCGGGCAAGACCGGUGCCAGCCGCCGCGGUAACACCGGCGGCCCGAGUGGUAGCCGUUUUUAUUGGGUCUAAAGGGUCCGUAGCCGGCUUGAUAAGUCUUUUGGGAAAUCUGCAGCUUAACUGUCAGGCUUCUAAGGGAUACUGUCAGGCUUGGACCGGAAGAGUAAGGGGUACUCCAGGGUUAGGAGUGAAAUCUUGUAAUCCCUGGGGGACCAUCUGUGGCGAAGGCGCCUUACCAGAACGGGUCCGACGGUGAGGGACGAAAGCUAGGGGAGCCAACCGGAUUAGAUACCCGGGUAGUCCUAGCUGUAAACGAUGCUCGCUAGGUGUCAGACACGGUGCGACCGUGUUUGGUGCCGCAGGGAAGCCGUUAAGCGAGCCACCUGGGAAGUACGGUCGCAAGGCUGAAACUUAAAGGAAUUGGCGGG
RNAcentral lists this ribosomal RNA (865 nucleotides) under uncultured archaeon. Its description in RNAcentral is "bacterial SSU rRNA". It matches the Rfam family "Archaeal small subunit ribosomal RNA", at positions 1 to 872 of the family's 1478-position model. The record is from RNAcentral.